GGCGGGGUAGCUCAGCCUGGUUAGAGCGCUAGACUCAUAAUCUAGAGGUCGAGGGUUCAAAUCACUCCCCCGCCA
This 75-nucleotide transfer RNA is filed under the name Microcaldota archaeon. RNAcentral's name for it is "tRNA-Met". It matches the Rfam family "tRNA". Rfam says of the family: Transfer RNA (tRNA) molecules are approximately 80 nucleotides in length. Their secondary structure includes four short double-helical elements and three loops (D, anti-codon, and T loops). Lineage: Archaea; Nanobdellati; Microcaldota. RNAcentral also lists the same sequence under 3 other names. The record is from RNAcentral.